AUUUGCAUUCGCACUCGCUAAAUUUGCAUUCGCACUCGCUAAAUUUACAUUCGCACUCGCUAAAUUAAGGGGGGUGGUGGAAAUUUAGCGAGUGCGAAUGCAAAUUUAGCGAGUGCGAAUGCAAAUUUAGCGAGUGCGAAUGUAAAUUUAGCGAGUGCGAAUGCAAAUUUAGCGAGUGCGAAUGUAAAU
Paramuricea clavata is the source of this 189-nucleotide non-coding RNA. The record is from the annotation of a GenBank genome assembly. Lineage: Eukaryota; Metazoa; Cnidaria; Anthozoa; Malacalcyonacea; Plexauridae.